This 21-nucleotide non-coding RNA is filed under the name Arabidopsis thaliana (thale cress). The record is from RNAcentral. Lineage: Eukaryota; Viridiplantae; Streptophyta; Magnoliopsida; Brassicales; Brassicaceae.
UGUGGUUCUGAGCAAACAGCC